This 239-nucleotide long non-coding RNA is filed under the name Mytilus galloprovincialis (Mediterranean mussel). The record is from RNAcentral. Lineage: Eukaryota; Metazoa; Mollusca; Bivalvia; Mytilida; Mytilidae.
AAGUAAUGUGUCAACUAUAUAUGUUGUAUAGAAGCAUUGUUAGCUGUACCUGUCUGUCUGGCAUGGUUCAUCUGACCUGGACCUAUUUUUCAAGGUUCAUUGGUCUUUGUUUAGUUAUCUUGGUUAAUGUUAAGUUUAUGUGACAGUUGUAAUAAAGCUUAGCUUUAUACUUAGGACUAUCAACAUUAUAUCAAUGAUUAGUAUAGAAGGCGAGACAUUUCAGCGUGUGCACUCUUGUU